CUGACGGCUCAGUAACACGUGGAUAAUCUACCCUAAGGUGGAGGAUAACCUCGGGAAACUGAGAAUAAUACUCCAUAAGUCUAGGAUACUGGGAUGUACUUAGGCUGAAAACUUCGGUGCCCUAGGAUGAGUCUGCGGACUAUCAGGUUGUAGUCAGGGUAAAGACCUGACUAGCCUACAACGGAUACGGGUUGUGAGAGCAAUAACCCGGAGACGAUAUCUGAGACACGAUAUCGGGCCCUACGGGGCGCAGCAGGCGCGAAAACUUCACACUGUGCGAAAGCACGAUGAGGGAAUCCCAAGUGCUUGCUCGUAAGAGUAAGCUGUUUUUAUGUCUAAAAAGCAUAGAGAGUAAGGGCUGGGUAAGACGGGUGCCAGCCGCCGCGGUAAUACCUGCAGCUCAAGUGGUGACCACUAUUAUUGGGCCUAAAACGUUCGUAGCCGGUUUAUUAAAUGCUUGGGUAAAUCGUGUAGCUUAACUAUACGAAUUCCGGGUAGACUGAUAGACUUGAGACCGGGAGAAG
RNAcentral lists this ribosomal RNA (524 nucleotides) under uncultured archaeon. RNAcentral's name for it is "bacterial SSU rRNA". It matches the Rfam family "Archaeal small subunit ribosomal RNA", at positions 82 to 608 of the family's 1478-position model. The record is from RNAcentral.